AAAAGAAACCAACAGGGAUUGCCCCAGUAACGGCGAGUGAAGCGGCAACAGCUCAAAUUUGAAAUCUGGCCCCCCGGGUCCGAGUUGUAAUUUGCAGAGGAUGCUUCGGGCGAGGUGCCUUCCGAGUUCCCUGGAACGGGACGCCACAGAGGGUGAGAGCCCCGUCUGGUCGGACACCGAGCCCGUGUGAAGCUCCUUCGAAGAGUCGAGUAGUUUGGGAAUGCUGCUCAAAAUGGGAGGUAUAUGUCUUCUAAAGCUAAAUAUUGGCCAGAGACCGAUAGCGCACAAGUAGAGUGAUCGAAAGAUGAAAAGCACUUUGAAAAGAGGGUUAAAAAGUACGUGAAAUUGUUGAAAGGGAAGCGCCCAUGACCAGACUUGGGCCCGGUGAAUCACCCGGCGUUCUCGCCGGUGCACUUUGCCGGGCACAGGCCAGCAUCAGUUUGGCGCGGGGGACAAAGGCUUCGGGAACGUGGCUCCCUCGGGAGUGUUAUAGCCCGCUGCGCAAUACCCUGCGCCGGACUGAGGUACGCGCAUCGCAAGGAUGCUGGCGUAAUGGUCAUCAGCGACCCGUCUUGAAACACGGACCAAGGAGUCGUCUUCGUAUGCGAGUGUUCGGGUGUCAAACCCCUACGCGGAAUGAAAGUGAACGCAGGUGAGAGCUUCGGCGCAUCAUCGACCGAUCCUGAUGUUCUCGGAUGGAUUUGAGUAAGAGCAUACGGGGCCGGACCCGAAAGAAGGUGAACUAUGCCUGUAUAGGGUGAAGCCAGAGGAAACUCUGGUGGAAGCUCGCAGCGGUUCUGACGUGCGAAUCGAUCGUCAAAUAUGGGCAUGGGGGCGAAAGACUAAUCGAACCUUCUAGUAGCUGGUUUC
RNAcentral lists this ribosomal RNA (870 nucleotides) under Cordyceps pseudotenuipes. RNAcentral's name for it is "partial large subunit ribosomal RNA". It matches the Rfam family "Eukaryotic large subunit ribosomal RNA", at positions 57 to 958 of the family's 3401-position model. Lineage: Eukaryota; Fungi; Ascomycota; Sordariomycetes; Hypocreales; Cordycipitaceae. The record is from RNAcentral.